GCCGGGUGUGGUGGUGCACACCUGUAAUCCCAGCUACUUGGGAGGCUGAAGCACAAGAAUCGCUUGAACCCAGGAGGUGGAGGUUGCAGUGAGCCAAGAUCAUGCCACUGCACUCUAGCCUGGGCAACAAAGUGAGACUCAGUCUCAA
RNAcentral lists this non-coding RNA (148 nucleotides) under Pan troglodytes (chimpanzee). Lineage: Eukaryota; Metazoa; Chordata; Mammalia; Primates; Hominidae. The record is from Rfam by way of RNAcentral.